CACUGACAACAUUGUCCUAACCAUUGACGACUCCACUCUGUCCCCAUCACCUCACAUCCGAAAUCUGGAAAUCAUUCUCGACAGCAACCUCACCUUCGAACAACACAUCAAGCAGAUCGCCCGGACCGCAUUCUUUCACCUCAGAAACAUUGCACACCUCCGCAACUCACUCUCCUUCUCUGCUGCUGAAACCCUCAUCCACGCAUUCAUCACAUCCCGAAUUGACUACUGCAACAGCAUUCUCUAUGGUUCAUCCUCAAAAGUCCUCAAUAAACUUUAGUAUGUCCAGAACUAUGCUUCCCACCUCCUCACCCACUCCCACUCUCGUGAACACAUCACCCCUGUCCUCCAAAACCUCCACUGGGUCCCUGUCCCACAACACAUCCAGUUCAAAGUCUUCCUUCUGACUCACAAAGCCCUUCAUAGCCAAGCCCCCCAUACCUCAGAGACCUGUCCACAGUCUCCGUUCCUCUGAUGCAAACCUUCUUUCCCUCCCUGUUCAAAACCAAGCAUCAAACCUGGGGCGACAGAGCCUUCUCCAUGUCUGCCCCCACACCCUGGAACUCCCUACCCCAACACAUCCGUGACUGCACCGAUCUGACCACUUUCAAAUCACACAUCAAGACCCACCUGUUCAGAACUGCGUUUAAUAUAUAAUACUAAUUUAUUUUUAUGAUGUGUGUUAUGACUUGUUUUAUGAUGUCCGUCUGUUUUAAUAUUUGCUGAUUUUAUAAUGUAGCUAUGUAAAGUGUCUGAGUAUUUUGAAAAGCGGAAUUAUUUAAGUUCAACAGAUCAUCCUGGUUCUUCCCUCAAUUCCUCAAUAACAAAAAAAAAACAAAAACAAAAAAAACCCAUUAUAUUUAUGCAAUCACAUCUUCUUACAGACACUUGCAAGUUGCGAAACCUGUCCUAAUACCCAGACAUGUCUACCUUAAAACUUCCCUUUAAGUGUGUGAGGUGAAAUAGACUUUGCAGGGAAACAACAGGUCUUAAAGACAGUUAAGAAUCUUAACCUCACCAAACCUCUAAAUCCAGCUUCAGAAUGAGAGCAUACAAUCAUCUCCCACACUGUGAACCAGUAGUUAUUAUCACUAGAGUAAAAAUUCA
Molecule: long non-coding RNA, 1107 nt
Organism: Amphiprion ocellaris (clown anemonefish)
Lineage: Eukaryota; Metazoa; Chordata; Actinopteri; Pomacentridae
Source: Ensembl